Molecule: ribosomal RNA, 1092 nt
Filed under: Triticum aestivum (bread wheat)
Lineage: Eukaryota; Viridiplantae; Streptophyta; Magnoliopsida; Poales; Poaceae
Description: partial small subunit ribosomal RNA
Source: RNAcentral
AUGAUGGCCGCCUCCUCCUUCCUCCCGCUCCACCUCCCGGCCUCCCCCAGGCCGGCCACCGUGGCCGCGAGGGCAGCCUCGGGCGUCGCGUCGACGGUGCCCGCCGCUACGCAGACGUCGCAGCUGGAGGAGACCUUCGGCCGGAAGGGCCUCCGGUUCGGGACGGACGCCACGGGCGCGCCCACGGCGGAGCUGAGCGUGCGCAACGGCAGCUCGCUGCAGCUGCGGCUCAACGACGGGCUGGUCACGUCGUACCGGCCCAAGGUGUCCUGGGAGGGCGGGGACGGCUGCCGGGAGCUGCUGCACACCGUGGCCGGCGCCGGCGCGGUCAAGGGCGGCGUCGGGCUCGUGCUCAACGAGGCCUCCUCCUCGUCGUCCGGCGGCGCGUCACUCCUCGGCGCGUCCGAGUGGUCCGUGGCGGACGUGGACUCGGACUCAUACGACGCCGUGCAGGUGGAGCUCGGGUGCAGCGCCAAGGGGGCCAAGCUGGAGGUGUCGUACGUGGUGACGCUGUACCCGCUGAGCAUGGCGACGGCGGUGAUCGUCAAGAACAACGGGGCCAAGCCGGUGGAGCUGACGGGCGCCGUGCUGAGCCACAUCAAGUUCGACAAGCGGCGGGGCACGGCCGUGGAGGGGCUCCGCGGCUGCCCCUACUGCUCCCACCCGCCGCCGGCGUCCGGGUUCGCGCUGCUCACCCCCGCCGAGGCCAUGAAGCGGGAGGAGUCCGGGUGGUUCGGCGGCGGCGGGGAGGAGCCCCGGCAGGGCGCCUGGACCGUGGAGGAGAACCUCUACACCAUCCUCAAGAAGAAGGUGAGCAGGGUGUACGCGGCGCCGCCCGAGGAGAGGAAGAAGCGCAUCUACAGCACCGCGCCGUCCAAGUUCACCACCAUCGACCAGUCUAGCGGGCUGGGGUUCAGGCUGGUGAGGAUGGGGUUCGAGGACAUGUACCUGAGCAGCCCGGGAGGAUUGUACGAGAAGUUCGGCAACGACUACUUCCUCUGCACCGGGCCGGCGUCCAUCCUCGUGCCCGUCGUCGUCGGCCCCGGCAAGGAGUGGAGGGGCGCUCAGGUCAUCGAGCACGACAACUUGUAA